AGUGAACGCUGGCGGUAGGCCUAACACAUGCAAGUCGAACGGCAGCACAGUAAGAGCUUGCUCUUACGGGUGGCGAGUGGCGGACGGGUGAGGAAUACAUCGGAAUCUACUAUUUCGUGGGGGAUAACGAAGGGAAACUUACGCUAAUACCGCAUACGACCUACGGGUGAAAGCAGGGGAUCUUCGGACCUUGCGCGAUUGAAUGAGCCGAUGUCUGAUUUGAUAGUUGGCGGGGUAAAGGCCCACCGAGGCGACGAUCCGUAGCUGGUCUGAGAGGAUCAUCCGCUACACUGGAUCAGAGGCACGUUCCAGACUCUGGCGAGAGGCAGCGGUGGGGAAUAUUGGAGAAGGGAGCAGUGCCGAAUCCUGCCAUACCAGGGAGAGCAAGAUGGCCUACGGGUGGUAGAGCCCUGUUGUUGGGAGAGAAGUGCAGCAGUUUAAUACCCCGCUGUUCUGACGGUACCCAAAGAGUAAGCACCGGCUAACUUCGUG
RNAcentral lists this ribosomal RNA (492 nucleotides) under uncultured bacterium. RNAcentral describes it as "partial 16S ribosomal RNA". It matches the Rfam family "Bacterial small subunit ribosomal RNA", at positions 29 to 507 of the family's 1533-position model. The record is from RNAcentral.